CCAAUAGCGUAUAUUAAAGUUGUUGCAGUUAAAAAGCUCGUAGUUGAAUUUCGGGAUCAAUUAAUUGGUCGUGCCUCUGGUACGUACUGAUUUUAUUGGUUUCUCCCUUCUGACGAACCAUCAUGUCAUUAAUUUGGUGUGGUGGAGAAUCAGGACUGUUACUUUGAAAAAAUUAGAGUGUUUAAAGCAAGCUAACGCUUGAAUACAUUAGCAUGGAAUA
Molecule: ribosomal RNA, 220 nt
Filed under: uncultured Glomus
Lineage: Eukaryota; Fungi; Glomeromycota; Glomeromycetes; Glomerales; Glomeraceae
Description: partial small subunit ribosomal RNA
Rfam family: Eukaryotic small subunit ribosomal RNA
Source: RNAcentral